CAGCAAUCAGGAAAACUGUGCCGAACUUGUUUCCAAAAUGCAGAGCGCAAACGCCAGGAUACCUUCGCCAGGAACUAAAGAGCUGUUAUCCAGAUGAGUGGAUGCUUUGCUUGUGCAUUCAAGUCAACAUACACACAGCUUUCACUGUAUUCAGGAAAGCAGACAGACCUUAUUUCCCCCCAUGUCCUCCGAGCAGAUGCCACAGUAGCCGGAGGGAACCGGCCCUUGGUCUGCCAGCGAGAGUUAAAAGACCUAAAGCACAGCGAGGGUCCAUCAAGUACGAGCUGUAACCUGCCGUGACACCUGAUGGGUGAUGUAAAUUGACAUUGCUGCUUUGGAGUGCCUUAGCCGGGGCUGAAAGUGCAUCUCAGCACUGCUGAGGCCCCAGGGAGGAGGGCCCCUUUCCUCCGCCAUCCGAUCCAAUUAACCGCGCCACGCUCUGGCUGUUUGUCUCACAUUUACAUGUUAAUACAGCCAGGAAAAUCUGUGUUUAGUCAGCAAAUCUGUGCCGCUGCAUAAUACCAGAGACUCUACUAUCUCUAAAUUAACUGAUAAUGCAUAAACUGGCUUUAGACCAUGAGCAGAAUCUGAGAUUUCUUUCCCCCUGCAGAACACCAGAUCAUAUAAGAAUAUAACAGUGAUGAAUGAGAGACAGAGGCUCACUGAACUUUGCAUUCCUUCACCUGCUCUGUCCCUUGUGCCCUGUCACAGCCUUUCACCCCUAGAGCAGCGAGUGUGUGCUUACUUCCUCUUUCAUUUCUGUGGGUCCCGCUGCUCCAGUCAGAGCUAAUCAGAAAAACAAGACAACACAAAAGCUCAGCAAUUCUACGCCAUACUGUGAGCGUCCUUCUCCAGCACCUGGUCUUGCAUCACUCUCUCUCUCUCUCUCUCUCUCUCUCUCUCUCUCUCGAGCCAAUGUUCUCUUCUACUCCACAGCAGAGUGUUUAACACUUGUAGAUGUCUGAUUUAUUUAUUUAUUUAUAAUGGUAAGCAAUAGGAAAAAAUGGACAGCGGCAC
This 1017-nucleotide long non-coding RNA is filed under the name Sinocyclocheilus grahami. RNAcentral's name for it is "lncRNA (ENSSGRG00000027508.1)". Lineage: Eukaryota; Metazoa; Chordata; Actinopteri; Cypriniformes; Cyprinidae. The record is from RNAcentral.